GUUGACCUCGGAUCAGGUAGGAAUACCCGCUGAACUUAAGCAUAUCAAUAAGCGGAGGAAAAGAAACCAACAGGGAUUCCCCUAGUAACGGCGAGUGAAGCGGGAACAGCUCAAAUUUGAAAUCUGGCCCUUGGGUCCGAGUUGUAAUUUGCAGAGGAUGCUUUUGGUGCGGUGCCUUCCGAGUUCCCUGGAACGGGACGCCUUAGAGGGUGAGAGCCCCGUACGGUUGGCCACCAAGCCUGUGUAAAGCUCCUUCGACGAGUCGAGUAGUUUGGGAAUGCUGCUCAAAAUGGGAGGUAUAUUUCUUCUAAAGCUAAAUACUGGCCAGAGACCGAUAGCGCACAAGUAGAGUGAUCGAAAGAUGAAAAGCACUUUGAAAAGAGGGUUAAAUAGCACGUGAAAUUGUUGAAAGGGAAGGAUUUAUGACCAGACUUUUUCUGGGGGGAUCAUCCGGUGUUCUCACCGGUGCACUUCCCCCAGUUGAGGCCAGCAUCGGUUUCUGCCGGGGGAUAAAAGCUUCGGGAAUGUGGCUCCUUCGGGAGUGUUAUAGCCCGUUGCAUAAUACCCUGGCGGGGACCGAGGUUCGCGCAUUGCAAGGAUGCUGGCGUAAUGGUUAUUAAUCACCCGUCUUGAAACACGGACCAAGGAGUCGAACAUUUGUGCGAGUGUUUGGGUGUUAAACCCUCACGCGUAAUGAAAGUGAACGGAGGUGAGAGCCUUUCGGGGUGCAUCAUCGACCGAUCCUGAUGUCUUCGGAUGGAUUUGAGUAAGAGCAUAACUGUUCGGACCCGAAAGAUGGUGAACUAUGCGUGGAUAGGGUGAAGCCAGAGGAAACUCUGGUGGAGGCUCGCAGCGGUUCUGACGUGCAAAUCGAUCGUCAAAUCUGCGCAUGGGGGCGAAAGACUAAUCGAACCAUCUAGUAGCUGGUUACCGC
This 934-nucleotide ribosomal RNA is filed under the name Apiospora kogelbergensis. RNAcentral describes it as "eukaryotic LSU rRNA". It matches the Rfam family "Eukaryotic large subunit ribosomal RNA", at positions 1 to 961 of the family's 3401-position model. The record is from RNAcentral. Lineage: Eukaryota; Fungi; Ascomycota; Sordariomycetes; Amphisphaeriales; Apiosporaceae.